This 407-nucleotide ribosomal RNA is filed under the name uncultured bacterium. RNAcentral describes it as "partial 16S ribosomal RNA". It matches the Rfam family "Bacterial small subunit ribosomal RNA", at positions 28 to 526 of the family's 1533-position model. The record is from RNAcentral.
GACGAACGCUGGCGUCGUGCCUAAUACCUGCAAGUAGGACGCAGUUGCGAACGGGUGGGUAACGCGUCGGUACCUGCCUUUUCGAGGGGGAUAACUAUUGGAAACGAUAGCUAAUACAGCAUACUAGUAGAUUGACCUGCGUUGUAUUAGCUUGUAGGGAGGGUAAUGGCCUACCUAGGCGACGAUACAUAGCCGACUGGAGAGGGUGUUCGGCAACCAGGGGACGUAGACGAGGCCCAGACGCCUACGGUAGGCAGCAGUAGGGAAUCUUCGGAAAUGGGGGGAACCAUGAACGAGCAACGCGGCGGGAGUGAAGAAGGUUUUAGGAUCGGAAAGCUCUGUUGGUAAGGAAGCGGUACUUAACCAGAAAGGGACGGCUAACUACGUGCCAGCAGCCGCGGUAAUAC